GACGAACGCUGGCGGCGUGCCUAAUACAUGCAAGUUGAGCGAUGAAGAUUGGUGCUUGCACCAAUUUGAAGAGCAGCGCACGGGUGAGUAACGCGUGGGGAAUCUGCCUUUGAGCGGGGGACAACAUUUGGAAACGAAUGCUAAUACCGCAUAACAACUUUAAACAUAAGUUUUAAGUUUGAAAGAUGCAAUUGCAUCACUCAAAGAUGAUCCCGCGUUGUAUUAGCUAGUUGGUGAGGUAAAGGCUCACCAAGGCGAUGAUACAUAGCCGACCUGAGAGGGUGAGCGGCCACAUUGGGACUGAGACACGGCCCAAACUCCUACGGGAGGCAGCAGUAGGGAAUCUUCGGCAAUGGACGAAAGUCUGACCGAGCAACGCCGCGUGAGUGAAGAAGGGUGUCGGAUCGUAAAACUCUGUUGGUAGAGAAGAACGUUGGUGAGAGUGGAAAGCUCAUCAAGUGACGGUAACUACCCAGAAAGGGACGGCUAACUACGUG
RNAcentral lists this ribosomal RNA (497 nucleotides) under uncultured bacterium. RNAcentral's name for it is "partial 16S ribosomal RNA". It matches the Rfam family "Bacterial small subunit ribosomal RNA", at positions 28 to 507 of the family's 1533-position model. The record is from RNAcentral.